UGUGUCAAGGGAUGGGAAUCGAACCCACGACCUUCCGCUUACCGGGCAGAUGCCAUGACCACUAGGCCACAUGACC
Molecule: non-coding RNA, 76 nt
Organism: Cordylochernes scorpioides
Lineage: Eukaryota; Metazoa; Arthropoda; Arachnida; Pseudoscorpiones; Chernetidae
Source: the annotation of a GenBank genome assembly